GAUGAACGCUGGCGGCGUGCCUAACACAUGCAAGUCGAGCGAACCCUUCGGGGUGAGCGGCGGACGGGUGAGUAACGCGUGGGUAACCUGCCCUGUACACACGGAUAACAUACCGAAAGGUAUGCUAAUACGAGAUAAUAUAUUUUAAUCGCAUGGUUAAGAUAUCAAAGCUCCGGCGGUACAGGAUGGACCCGCGUCUGAUUAGCUAGUUGGUGAGGUAAUGGCUCACCAAGGCGACGAUCAGUAGCCGACCUGAGAGGGUGAUCGGCCACACUGGAACUGAGACACGGUCCAGACUCCUACGGGAGGCAGCAGUGGGGAAUAUUGCACAAUGGGCGAAAGCCUGAUGCAGCAACGCCGCGUGAGCGAUGAAGGCCUUCGGGUCGUAAAGCCCUGUCCUCAAGGAAGAUAAUGACGGUACUUGAGGAGGAAGCCCCGGCUAACUACGUGCCAGCAGCCGCCGUAA
RNAcentral lists this ribosomal RNA (466 nucleotides) under uncultured bacterium. RNAcentral describes it as "partial 16S ribosomal RNA". It matches the Rfam family "Bacterial small subunit ribosomal RNA", at positions 28 to 523 of the family's 1533-position model. The record is from RNAcentral.